GGGGACGUAGCUCAGUUGGGAGAGCGCGGGCUUUGCAAGCCUGAGGUCGUGGGUUCGACCCCCAUCGUCUCCA
This is a transfer RNA of 73 nucleotides. It matches the Rfam family "tRNA". Rfam says of the family: Transfer RNA (tRNA) molecules are approximately 80 nucleotides in length. Their secondary structure includes four short double-helical elements and three loops (D, anti-codon, and T loops). The record is from Rfam.